RNAcentral lists this long non-coding RNA (394 nucleotides) under Homo sapiens (human). RNAcentral's name for it is "HSALNT0375689". Lineage: Eukaryota; Metazoa; Chordata; Mammalia; Primates; Hominidae. The record is from RNAcentral.
CCUCCUGUGCUAGCCUCUCAAGCAGCUAGGACUACAGUUUUACUUGCUUCCAACAGGAAGGCAAGUUUUCCUCCUUCCAUGACGAUGAAAGGCAGGUAACUCCUUUAUGGAAUUUGAGCUGGCUUCCAACAGGGAAGAUGAGGUUUUUUUUCCUGCCUCUAGAAUAGUAGAGAGCAGUCUACAGCCUGAGACCCAUCACUAGGACACAAUUGAAGAAACUGGUAGUUUUACCAAGGCUUUGACUGGAAUGGUGCACUUUCCUAUAAGGAAUCAAACUUGACUUAAGAAGCCAAUAAAGCCCUUGGAAAAACUGGCCUCAUAUUUUGUGUACACAGUCCGUGUACAGGGUUUCUGGCCUGUGAGACAGAGUGUCACUAUGUUGCCCAAGCUGGAC